RNAcentral lists this ribosomal RNA (502 nucleotides) under uncultured bacterium. Its description in RNAcentral is "bacterial SSU rRNA". It matches the Rfam family "Bacterial small subunit ribosomal RNA", at positions 30 to 504 of the family's 1533-position model. The record is from RNAcentral.
UGAACGCUGGCGGCGUGCUUAACACAUGCAAGUCGCACGAGAACGCUUCAGCUUGCUGAAGUUAGUAAAGUGGCGCACGGGUGAGUAACGCGUGGGUAAUCUACCUCCGAAUUGGGGAUAACAUUGCGAAAGCGAUGCUAAUACCGGAUAAUAUCUCGAGAGCUACGGCUUUUGAGAUCAAAGGUGGCCUCUACAUGUAAGCUACCGAUUGGAGAUGAGCCCGCGUACCAUUAGCUUGUUGGUAGGGUAACGGCCUACCAAGGCAGCGAUGGUUAGCUGGUCUGAGAGGAUGAUCAGCCACACUGGAACUGGCACACGGUCCAGACUCCUACGGGAGGCAGCAGUGAGGAAUUUUGCGCAAUGGGGGAAACCCUGACGCAGCAACGCCGCGUGAGUGAUGAAGGCUUUCGGGUCGUAAAGCUCUGUCAAGUGGGAAGAAACUAUAAAAUGCCAAUACCAUUUUAUACUGACGGUACCACUGAAGGAAGCACCGGCUAACUCC